RNAcentral lists this ribosomal RNA (477 nucleotides) under uncultured bacterium. RNAcentral's name for it is "bacterial SSU rRNA". It matches the Rfam family "Bacterial small subunit ribosomal RNA", at positions 29 to 485 of the family's 1533-position model. The record is from RNAcentral.
AUUGAACGCUGGCGGCGUGCCUAACACAUGCAAGUCGAACGCGAAAGCCCCGCAAGGGGCAAGUAGAGUGGCAAACGGGUGAGUAACACGUGGGUGACCUGCCUUCGAGCGGGGGAUAACGUCCCGAAAGGGACGCUAAUACCGCAUAACAUCCUGCCUUUGAAGAGGUGGAGAUCAAAGCUGGGGAUCGCAAGACCCGGCACUUGAAGAGGGGCCCGCGCCUGAUUAGCUAGUUGGGGGGUAAUGGCCUACCAAGGCAACGAUCAGUAUCCGGCCUGAGAGGGCGGACGGACACACUGGGACUGAGACACGGCCCAGACUCCUACGGGAGGCAGCAGUGGGGAAUUGUUCGCAAUGGGCGCAAGCCUGACGACGCAACGCCGCGUGGAGGAUGAAGAUUUUCGGAUCGUAAACUCCUGUCGAAUGGGACGAAAAGAUAACGGGUUAACAGCCCGUAAUCCUGACGGUACCGUUAAA